This is a non-coding RNA of Diplonema papillatum, 82 nucleotides long. The record is from the annotation of a GenBank genome assembly. NCBI's taxonomy places the organism in Eukaryota, Euglenozoa, Diplonemea, Diplonemida, Diplonemidae.
GGCAGGGUGGCCGAGUGGUCUAAGGCGAAGGACUCAAGUUCCUCUCUCUUCGGAGGCGUGGGUUCAAACCCCACCCCUGUCA